UCUCCUUCUUCCUUUUUUUUCUCUCUCUUGGUCGACAGUCGGUGAUGGCUAAAACAAACAGAAACGAAUCGAUUUGCCUCAUCCGCCGUCUGGGUCAUGAAAUUGGACGAGUAAUGGCAAAUAAUCUCUUCUUUCAUCCGUCUUGAGCAUCAUAUAAACAUACGGUGGUUACUAUCUGUGAAGUCGAUGAGCCUAAUCGGCGAUUUUGGGAUUCCAAAUAGGAGAGUUUGGUGAAACGAUGCUCUAAUAUGCUUUUCCUGAUCAAAGGAGACAAAAUUGGCUACUGCAGAUGGUUUUGUGUUUUAUUAUGUUUUCGGUUUCAAUCAGUUUUGGCAAGUUGACAAGUAAAAGAAGAUGGCAAGCUGACAUGUAAAAGAAGAUGGCAAGCUGACAUGUAAAAGAAGGUGGCAGGAAGGACAAGUUAAAGAAGAUGGCAAGGCAAGCUGUAUCUUUUUUUGAUUCAUUUUGUUUUAUUUGGUUCAGUUUGUUUCAGUAUUACAAGUUAAGCAAAUUUAAAUUUUCAAAAUAUUCAUUAUUUCUAAGAAACCUUCUACCUUUUACCAUUGGAGGAGGAUAAAUUUUAGAACAACUUAGGGUA
Molecule: long non-coding RNA, 598 nt
Organism: Camelina sativa (false flax)
Lineage: Eukaryota; Viridiplantae; Streptophyta; Magnoliopsida; Brassicales; Brassicaceae
Source: RefSeq, a predicted model, not a curated record